GCCUCCUUAGCUCAGUUGGUAGAGCGUUUCACUCGUAAUGAAAAGGUCGCCAGUUCGAUUCUGGCAGGAGGCUCCA
Molecule: transfer RNA, 76 nt
Filed under: Arthrobacter sp.
Lineage: Bacteria; Bacillati; Actinomycetota; Actinomycetes; Micrococcales; Micrococcaceae
Also listed under: 4 other names
Description: tRNA-Thr
Rfam family: tRNA
About the family: Transfer RNA (tRNA) molecules are approximately 80 nucleotides in length. Their secondary structure includes four short double-helical elements and three loops (D, anti-codon, and T loops).
Source: RNAcentral